UAGAAGGAGAAAGAAAAGAAAAAAAUUG
Molecule: non-coding RNA, 28 nt
Filed under: Cricetulus griseus (Chinese hamster)
Lineage: Eukaryota; Metazoa; Chordata; Mammalia; Rodentia; Cricetidae
Source: RNAcentral